This 253-nucleotide ribosomal RNA is filed under the name uncultured bacterium. RNAcentral's name for it is "partial 16S ribosomal RNA". It matches the Rfam family "Bacterial small subunit ribosomal RNA", at positions 524 to 776 of the family's 1533-position model. The record is from RNAcentral.
UACAGAGGUCUCAAGCGUUGUUCGGAGUUACUGGGCGUAAAGGGUGUGUAGGCGGUUGUUUAAGUUUGGUGUGAAAUCUCCCGGCUCAACUGGGAGGGUGCGCCGAAUACUGAAUGACUAGAGUGUGGGAGAGGUGAGUGGAAUUCCUGGUGUAGCGGUGAAAUGCGUAGAUAUCAGGAGGAACACCGGUGGUGUAGACGGCUCACUGGACCAUAACUGACGCUGAGACACGAAAGCGUGGGUAGCAAACAGG